Molecule: ribosomal RNA, 652 nt
Filed under: uncultured bacterium
Lineage: Bacteria
Description: bacterial SSU rRNA
Rfam family: Bacterial small subunit ribosomal RNA
Source: RNAcentral
AUUGAACGCUGGCGGCAUGCCUUACACAUGCAAGUCGAGCGGCAGCGCGGGGCAACCCUGGCGGCGAGCGGCGGACGGGUGAGCAAUACAUAGGAAUCUGCCUCAGAGCGGGGGAGUAGCCAGGGGAAACCCUGAUUAAUACCGCAUGAUGUCGAGAGACCAAAGUGGGGGACCGUAAGGCCUCACACUCUGAGAUGAGCCUAUGUCGGAUUAGCUAGUUGGCGGGGUAACGGCCCACCAAGGCGACGAUCCGUAGCUGGUCUGAGAGGACGAUCAGCCACACCGGGAACUGAGACACGGUCCGGACUCCUACGGGAGGCACAUGGGGAAUNUGGACAAUGGGCGAAAGCCUGAUCCAGCGACGCCGCGUGGGUGAAGAAGGCCUCGGGUUGUAAAGCCUUUAAGCCGGGACGAAAAAUGCUGCACCUAACACGUGCGGCCUUGACGGUACCGGAAGAAUAAGCACCGGCUAACUCUGUGCCAGCAGCCGCGGUAAUACAGAGGGUGCAAGCGUUAAUCGGAUUUACUGGGCGUAAAGCGUGUGUAGGUGGCUUCCUAAGUCGGUUGUGAAAUCCCUGGGCUCAACCUGGGAAUUGCAGUCGAUACUGGGAAGCUCGAGUUCGGUAGAGGACGGCGGAAUUCCCGGUGUAGC